ACCCCCGAAACUAAGUGAGCUACUUCGAGGCAGUUUUAAGAACGAACCCAUCUCUGUUGCAAAAGAGUGGGAUGACCCCCAAGUAGCGGCGACAAACCUACCGCACUUAGAGAUAGCUGGUUACUCAAGAAAAGAAUUUAAGUUCAACCUAAAGUUUUGUAAUUAAACAAAAAUACAAUAAAACUUUAGAGCUAUUCAAGUAAGGCACAGCUUAUUUGAAACAGGACUCA
This 230-nucleotide ribosomal RNA is filed under the name Mantidactylus opiparis. RNAcentral describes it as "partial 16S ribosomal RNA". It matches the Rfam family "Bacterial large subunit ribosomal RNA", at positions 711 to 1022 of the family's 2925-position model. The record is from RNAcentral. Lineage: Eukaryota; Metazoa; Chordata; Amphibia; Anura; Mantellidae.